RNAcentral lists this ribosomal RNA (253 nucleotides) under uncultured bacterium. RNAcentral describes it as "partial 16S ribosomal RNA". It matches the Rfam family "Bacterial small subunit ribosomal RNA", at positions 524 to 776 of the family's 1533-position model. The record is from RNAcentral.
GACGAACCGUGCGAACGUUGUUCGGAAUCACUGGGCUUAAAGGGCGCGUAGGCGGGCCAUCAAGUCCGGGGUGAAAUCUUUCGGCUCAACCGGAAAAGUGCCUUGGAUACUGAUGGUCUUGAGCGAGGUAGGGGCAUGUGGAACUUCCGGUGGAGCGGUGAAAUGCGUUGAUAUCGGAAGGAACUCCGGUGGCGAAAGCGACGUGCUGGACCUCUUCUGACGCUGAGGCGCGAAAGCUAGGGGAGCGAACGGG